This is a long non-coding RNA of Stylophora pistillata, 408 nucleotides long. NCBI's taxonomy places the organism in Eukaryota, Metazoa, Cnidaria, Anthozoa, Scleractinia, Pocilloporidae. The record is from RefSeq and is a predicted model, not a curated record.
UGGUGCGUUGUUGUUUAAUUUUAUCUUCUAUAUUCACUUGUCAAUUCAAGCCAUCAGUUGGAUUCUAUUUUCUGUCUGAUCAAGGCAUUUUACCUUCUGCUCUGUUUGAUGUUUUUGAACGCAUGGAACAUGGAAUACGUGAGACGGUGUAUGUGACAUAAUUACGAAAGUUUUAUUUCCCCAGAUAUGGAAGAAUCAUACGAGGAAGCGAUUGGUGAGAUUUCAACUUUCGAAGAUAAAGUUGAUCAGUCAGCGAAUCAUUUAGAAGAAGAGCAACAACAGCAUAGAAAUGAUCUGUUGGGACUUGACGAAAUGGAAAAAGCUUUAGAAGAGAUUGAUACAAGAGUACAAAAACUGGAAGAAGCAAAUGGUAAGAUAUGCAAAAGUGGUCAAAAGGAAGACGGGAAA